GGGUCGUUAGCUCAGUCGGUAGAGCAGCGGACUUUUAAUCCGUUGGUCGCGUGUUCGAGUAACGCACGACCCACCA
Molecule: transfer RNA, 76 nt
Filed under: Ralstonia solanacearum
Lineage: Bacteria; Pseudomonadati; Pseudomonadota; Betaproteobacteria; Burkholderiales; Burkholderiaceae
Description: tRNA-Lys
Rfam family: tRNA
About the family: Transfer RNA (tRNA) molecules are approximately 80 nucleotides in length.
Source: RNAcentral